CAGUCGCCGCGGUAAUACAGAGGAUGCAAGCGUUAUCCGGAAUGAUUGGGCGUAAAGGGCUCGCAGGCGGUUUCUUAAGUCUGAUGUGAAAGCCCCCGGCUCAACCGGGGAGGGUCAUUGGAAACUGGGAAACUUGAGUGCAGAAGAGGAGAGUGGAAUUCCACGUGUAGCGGUGAAAUGCGUAGAGAUGUGGAGGAACACCAGUGGCGAAGGCGACUCUCUGGUCUGUAACUGACGCUGAGGAGCGAAAGCGUGGGGAGCGAACAGGAUUAGAUACCCCCGUAGUCCCUGUCUCUUAUAC
RNAcentral lists this ribosomal RNA (301 nucleotides) under uncultured bacterium. Its description in RNAcentral is "partial 16S ribosomal RNA". It matches the Rfam family "Bacterial small subunit ribosomal RNA", at positions 509 to 807 of the family's 1533-position model. The record is from RNAcentral.